AUGCGUAGGGGGCAAGCGUUAUCCGGAUUUACUGGGUGUAAAGGGAGCGUAGGUGGUUCGGCAAGUCAGAUGUGAAAGCCCGGGGCUCAACCCCGGGACUGCAUUUGAAACUGCCGUACUAGAGUGCAGGAGAGGUAAGUGGAAUUCCUAGUGUAGCGGUGAAAUGCGUAGAUAUUAGGAGGAACACCAGUGGCGAAGGCGGCUUACUGGACUGUAACUGACACUGAGGCUACGAAAGCGGUGGGGAGC
This 249-nucleotide ribosomal RNA is filed under the name uncultured bacterium. RNAcentral's name for it is "partial 16S ribosomal RNA". It matches the Rfam family "Bacterial small subunit ribosomal RNA", at positions 523 to 769 of the family's 1533-position model. The record is from RNAcentral.